AUCAUUGUUUAUUAUUCAGAUAUAUUCCAAAUAUAAAAUAUGUGUAUUAAUAAGUGAAUUUAACCUGCAAUUUGUUUAUUGUAGCUAAAGCAAAGAUCGAUGGCCUCAAAAGGUCAAUGGCCGUUACUGGAGGAGGGCCUCCACCACCAGCACUAACAAGUGCAGAUGAGGUGCUUUCCCAGUCAUUGGAAGGGAGGCCAGGCAUUCAUGGCCUAGACCAUGGCAUUGACACUGAUGAUGCUUAUGCCUGUGCAGAUGAAACUGACACUGCAGCAGAAGGCCCAGUAGGUGAAGAACCACAAGGUGAAAGGGCAGUGCCUCAACAGGAAAACGAUUCAGAUG
Molecule: long non-coding RNA, 342 nt
Organism: Haliotis rubra (blacklip abalone)
Lineage: Eukaryota; Metazoa; Mollusca; Gastropoda; Lepetellida; Haliotidae
Exons: 3
Source: RefSeq, a predicted model, not a curated record